This 440-nucleotide ribosomal RNA is filed under the name uncultured bacterium. Its description in RNAcentral is "bacterial SSU rRNA". It matches the Rfam family "Bacterial small subunit ribosomal RNA", at positions 340 to 773 of the family's 1533-position model. The record is from RNAcentral.
UACGGAAGGCAGCAGUGGGGAAUAUUGCACAAUGGGCGCAAGCCUGAUGCAGCCAUGCCGCGUGUAUGAAAAAGGCCUUCGGGUUGUAAAGUACUUUCAGUCGUGAGGAAGGUGUUAAGGUUAAUAACCUUAGCAAUUGACGUUAGCGACAGAAGAAGCACCGGCUAACUCCGUGCCAGCAGCCGCGGUAAUACGGAGGGUGCGAGCGUUAAUCGGAAUUACUGGGCGUAAAGGGCAUGCAGGCGGUUAAUUAAGUUGGAUGUGAAAUCCCCGGGCUUAACCUGGGAAUGGCAUUCAAGACUGGUUAGCUAGAGUCUUGUAGAGGGGGUAGAAUUCCAUGUGUAGCGGUGAAAUGCGUAGAGAUGUGGAGGAAUACCGGUGGCGAAGGCGGCCCCUGGGACAAAGACUGACGCUCAUGUGCGAAAGCGUGGGGAGCAAAC